AUUGAACGCUGGCGGCAGGCCUAACACAUGCAAGUCGAGCGGAUGAAGGGAGCUUGCUCCUGGAUUCAGCGGCGGACGGGUGAGUAAUGCCUAGGAAUCUGCCUGGUAGUGGGGGAUAACGUCCGGAAACGGGCGCUAAUACCGCAUACGUCCUGAGGGAGAAAGUGGGGGAUCUUCGGACCUCACGCUAUCAGAUGAGCCUAGGUCGGAUUAGCUAGUUGGUGGGGUAAAGGCCUACCAAGGCGACGAUCCGUAACUGGUCUGAGAGGAUGAUCAGUCACUCUGGGACUGAGACACGAUACAGAGUCCUACGGGAGGCAGCGAUGGGGAAUAGUGGACGAUGGGCGGAAGCCUGAUCCAGCCGUGCCGCGUGUGUGAAGAGAGUCUUCGGAUUGUAAAGCACUUUUAGUUGGGAGGAAGGGCAGUGAGAUAGUACCUUGCUGUUGUGACGGUACCUACAUAAUAAGCACCGGCUAACUUCGUG
Molecule: ribosomal RNA, 484 nt
Filed under: uncultured bacterium
Lineage: Bacteria
Description: partial 16S ribosomal RNA
Rfam family: Bacterial small subunit ribosomal RNA
Source: RNAcentral